GUACAAAUGAUGACAGCAAAGUGAAGACA
This 29-nucleotide non-coding RNA is filed under the name Cricetulus griseus (Chinese hamster). Lineage: Eukaryota; Metazoa; Chordata; Mammalia; Rodentia; Cricetidae. The record is from RNAcentral.